Amphimedon queenslandica is the source of this 234-nucleotide long non-coding RNA. RefSeq lists it as uncharacterized. NCBI's taxonomy places the organism in Eukaryota, Metazoa, Porifera, Demospongiae, Haplosclerida, Niphatidae. The transcript is spliced from 4 exons. The record is from RefSeq and is a predicted model, not a curated record.
CCUCCAACACCCACGUAUACGUAUAAAGAUGGAGAGGUUUGUUGCUGUCUGGUUGUUGAUUUCUUCUCUUGUUGUAUUAUGGGAUACUGGUUAUGUGUUAUUCCGCCCACGGUCAAUGCCAGGGGGAGAUUUACACUGGCUCUGGACCCCGUAUUCACUAUAUUCUUCGAUUGAUAAAAAAUAUGGAGACUUGGGAGAUGAUUUCGUAUAUGGACAAUCAUGGUGCAAUGUGUU